CAGUGGUGAUAGACUUCAUCAUGGUGGUCAGUCAGGUCCACAUAAGGAGAAGGCUGCUGUUAGCCAGUUUCCUGUUUCUCUCUGUCUAUGGACAAACUUCAGGACCAUAUUUUAUGGUCACGUUUCCUGCAGUAAUCGAGUCUGGCUCUCAAGUAAUAUUCUGUGCGAGUCUUCUGAAGCCUAAUGAGACUCUGCAAAUGGACGUAUAUCUGGUUCAUGACAACCAGAGCAGAACUCUUUUACACGAGACAGUGGAAAAGGACUUUCACUUCUGCUCUCAUUUUGAGGCUCCACAGGUUGAAGGUGAAUCAGUGCAAGACAUCAAAGUAGAAGUCAAAGGGGAAAGUUUUAAGAUGACAGAUAAAAGGAAAGUGAUGUUUAAAUCCUACGGCACAUUGACUUUUAUCCAGACUGAUAAACCCAUCUACAAUCCAGGACAAACAGUGAAUUUCAGAGUUGUCUCUAUGGAUUCUCAUUUAAUCCCACUUAAACUAAAGUACAGCACGGUGUAUCUUCAGGAUAAUAAUGGUAACAGGAUUGGCCAGUGGACAAAUGUGUCUUCGUCAGGUCUGAUACUGCAGCUUUCUCAUGAGCUAAAUGCUGAAGCUCCAGAGGGACAUUAUCUGUUAAUUGCUGACAUUGGAGACAGGUCGAUCAGACACCAGUUUAAAGUGGAAAAGUAUGUUUUACCCAAGUUUGAGGUUACAUUAAAAGCACCAGAAGAACACAGCAUUGGUGACGAGGAAGUGAAGCUAGAGGUUUGUGGAAAGUACACUUAUGGACAGCCAGUGCCUGGUGAAGCAGUGGUGCAGGUGUGCCGGCGAUUUAGGCAGCAUUAUUAUGUGCCAUUGAUGAUUUCACCCUGUCUGAGUGAAACAGUGAAGAUAGGUCAGACUGGCUGUGCAUUUUCCCUCAUCAAUGUGACCACUUUCUUGAAUACUGAAUUUGAAAAUAGACUUGAGGAUCAACUUCAAUUUACUGUUACAUUUAAAGAGGAAGGAACGGAUACUUCCAUUGUGAAAUCUGAAAAAAUAAGACUCUCUUUCCAAAUUGGUAAAGUGGAAAUCCUUGAUUCACCAAAAAACUUUGAGAGAGAAAAAGCUAUAGAAGGAAAAAUUAAAGUUACUACCUUCAGUGGAACACCAAUUCCUAACAAGAGGGUGUAUCUUUCAGAAGGUCAACAAUGGGCUCCAACAUUACUACUCAAUCUUACUACAGAUAGUAAUGGCUUGGCAGACUUCUCAGUCCCUUCACCUGAACAUCCUAAAACAGAGAUAUUAUUGAGGGCAAGUGUCUAUCCAGAGGAAAAAUACCACCAAUACAAAACACCAUUCUUUUCAACUGCGGACACACGUAUACAUCUGCUCCAACCUGCUACACCUUACAGUCCAGUGUUCAGUGAACUGUCAAUAGAGAGCUCAGAAGAACCAUUUAAAUGUGGUGCUGAAAUUCCCAUAACAAUUAACUACUAUAUUAUUGGGGAAACUUCUGAAAGUUACAAUAUUGAUCUUAUAUACAUGGUCUUGUCUAAAGGACUCAUAGUCCAUCAUGGGCAUGAGACAGUUGAAGUGGAAGCAUCUACAGAUACCAGAAAAGGAAAAAUCUCAUUUAAAUUAUCUGUUCUUGCUGAGCUGGCUCCUGUAGUGCAGGUUGUGGCGUACUCUGUCCUGCCCAGUGAGAACGUCAUUGCAGCUAGUAAGAACUUUGAUGUUGAAAAGUGUUUCGGAAAUAAGGUUUCGCUACAGUUCUCUCCCUCUAAAGCAGUUCCAGGUGAGAAGAACACUCUUGGGGUCUCAGCUCAUCCGGGUUCACUUUGUGGCCUCAGUGCUGUAGAUCAGAGUGUGUUCAUCUUGGAAUCUGGAAACCGCCUAAACGCUGACAAGAUAUUUAACUUGUUGCCAGUGACCUUGGUAUCGGAUUAUUCAUAUACAGUUGAAGAUGAGCUGGAGUGCUUGCACGUUCGACCCCAGCGAGAUGUGCGGGUUGAUCAUGUUUACAAUACAUUAAAGGGAGUGGGGCUGAAGAUGGCAACAAAUUUGGCUGUUAGACAACCUCGUUGUUUGGUGUACAAAGGCGUGCAGUUUCAUCGUGAACAUGUAUAUGUUGCAUACAGGACAAAUGUUCAUGCUUUUGGUCAACCAAUGGCAUUAGCAGAUUAUCAUCAAGGCUUUGAACCCAUCGAGACAGUUCGUAAAUUCUUUCCAGAAACUUGGAUAUGGCAACUUCUUGAAGUUGGAGACUCUGGAUCAGCACAGCUUCCGCUCACUGUUCCUGACACCAUCACCACCUGGGAGACUGAGGCUUUCUGCUUGUCCUCUAUAGGUCUGGGUCUCGCUCCUCCUGUUCAGCUCACUGUGUUUCAGCCCUUCUUCCUGGAGCUCUCUUUGCCUUACUCCAUUAUCCGGGGAGAGGUUUUUGAGUUGAAGGCCACUGUCUUCAAUUAUCUUUCCAAAUGCAUUAUGGUUAAAGUGACUCCAGCCCCUUCCUCAGACUACACUCUGGAAAAAUCUUCUGAUGGUGAAUAUUCAUCCUGUCUGUGUGCAAAUGGAAGAAAGACCCUCAAAUGGACUCUGAUUCCCUCUGUGCUUGGAGUCUUGAACGUGACAGUGAGUGCAGAGGCAGAACAAUCCCAGACUGUGUGUGAUAAUGAGAUCGUGAGUGUUCCAGAGAGAGGCCGUAUUGACACAGUUACACGAAGCCUCAUUGUAAAGGCUGAAGGAACUGAAAAGACAAAGAGCCAAAGCUGGUUAUUAUGUCCACAAGGUAACAGUGUUUCAGAGGAAUUGGAGCUGACUCUUCCUGAGGAUGUAAUAAAGGGAUCAGCACGAGCUUCUGUUUCAGUGCUUGGAGACAUACUUGGCCGUGCAUUAAAAAAUCUCAAUGGACUACUAAAGAUGCCAUAUGGCUGUGGAGAACAAAACAUGGCCCUUCUCGCCCCAAAUAUCUACAUUCUUCAGUAUCUAGAGAACACUGAGCAGCUCACCACAGAUAUCCGUGAGAAGGCUACCGGUUUCCUUAAGAGUGGAUACCAGAGGCAGCUAAACUAUAAGCAUUUUAGUGGUGGUUAUAGCACAUUUGGAAGUGGAGAGGAGAACACAUGGUUAACAGCUUUUGUAUUGAGGACCUUUGGCAAAGCACAAAGUUACAUCUUUAUUGAUCCAGAAAUCAUUAAAAGUGCAAAACAGUGGCUCACAAAUAUGCAGAGAACAGAUGGCUGUUUUACACAACAGGGAAAUCUGUUCAAUAAAAGAAUGAAGGGUGGUGUAAAUGAUGAAGUGACCAUUACUGCAUACAUCACUACAGCAUUCCUUGAAUUGGGCCUUACAGUGCAAGAUCCUGUUGUUAAUAAAGGGCUGUUAUGCCUAAAAUCUUCUAUUGGUAACCUGACAAACACCUACACCACUGCGCUCUUGGCUUACACUUUCAGUCUGGCUGGAGAGAAUGAAACUCGAGAGCAGCUACUAAAAGAGUUAAAUAGUAUUGCUAUUACAGGAGAUGGUCGUCUUCACUGGUCUCAGUCAGCAUUAGAUGAUUCCAGCUCAUUGUCAGUGGAAAUCAGUUCCUACGUGCUCCUAGCUGUUCUCAGUACAGGUCACCUCACUGCUGCAGAUUUGGGCUAUGCUAAUAGGAUAGUCAGCUGGCUCGUGAAGCAGCAAAAUCCCUAUGGAGGCUUUUCAUCCACCCAGGACACAGUCGUGGCCCUCCAAGCUCUGGCUCUGUACUCCACUAAAGUGUUCAGCUCAGAAGGCUCUAGCACAGUAACUGUAAAGUCUGCAGAUGGACACAGUCACAACUUUGAUGUGAAUCAGAACAACAAGUUACUGUACCAAGAAAGAUCAUUGCAGGAUGUUCCUGGUAAAUACAGCAUUGAUGUGAAGGGCUCCACCUGUGUAUCAGUGCAGACAGCACUUUUCUACAAUAUCCCUACACCUACUGAAAUCAGUACACUGAGCAUCAUGGCUAAGACCGAAGGAAACUGCACAAAAUCAUUUGGCCACACUUUGACAAUCACAUUCUCUGUCGUGAAAUCAUGUGGGAAAUGCUCAAACUUCUGAAACUUCUGCCACUGAAUUUGUUUUAUCGCUUCUUCAAAAAUUUAAGGAUUUAGCAGUAUAAAGAGUGAACAGUUCAUUUUCAAGUGUUUCACCAUAUUUUAUUGAAUUACCAUGUAUAUUUCAGAGAUACAGUAUUUUAAAAGAAUUUAUCGAGUAGUCCAGCAGAAUUUGCUUCCAUUUUACCACUAGGACAAUGCUUAUUAUUUGCUAUUAUUGUUGGUUACUGGGCUAUUAUUGGUCCUUAUUUGUCAUUGAUGUUUAUUACAGUAAUUGAUACCUAGUUUUUGUUGUUGUCUGUCUUCAAUUUGCAGAUAUGAUGGUGAACUAAACAGCACUAACAUGAUCAUAGUGGACAUAAAACUCCUAUCAGGGUUCACAGCUGAUCCUGGUGAACUGAAAAAUCAGAUUUUGGUGGAACGAGUUGAUUCCAAGGAUGACCAUAUUAUCAUGUAUAUAAACGAGCUCCAAAGGAAUAUUCCUGCCAACUAUUAUCUACACAUUAAACAAGCGAUGCCUGUCAAGAAUCUCAAGCCAGCUGUGAUCAAAGUUUAUGAUUACUACCAAACAAAUGACCAGUCUGAGACGGAGUACACCUCCACCUGUGCAUAAGCUUCCAGAUCUGCAUUAAAGAUUCAGAAAAGCGGAAUGGAUAUCUUCUGUGUGCUAUGUUUUUCCUGUAAAAAACAAACAAUCAUAUUGAUAUGCUUGUCCUCUUGUUAGUAAAGCUGAAUUUUCUUGCAUCCAAACAAAUGUAUACAGUGCCUUGCAUAGAUUUCAUCUUCCCUGAAAUUUUGUCUUGCUAAUGAAAUGAACUUAUGAGCUUUCUAUGGUCGUUCUAACAUAUUCAGGGUCUUAGUCUAGCUUUAGCAGUGUGUUUAAGGCCAUUUUCCUAUCCACAUUUGUUCUGGGGUUGCUGCUGUAAAAAUGAUUUAUGGGUAUAAUUUCUGGUGGAAAUAGCAGCACAGUGUUGACUGGGCAGCAUGGGUUUAGCUGAUGACUUAUUUUUUAACGUUCAAAAAUUGUUUUAAGCUGUAGUUGUUAGAUCACGAUGCUAGGACUUUUCUUUGUAUCUAAGUAUUGAGACACAUUUUAAAUAAAAUGAGGUAAUAAUUACUGUA
Tachysurus fulvidraco (yellow catfish) is the source of this 5173-nucleotide RNA transcript. It is a transcript of the gene named alpha-2-macroglobulin-like, with no coding region annotated. The transcript is spliced from 34 exons. The record is from RefSeq and is a predicted model, not a curated record. Lineage: Eukaryota; Metazoa; Chordata; Actinopteri; Siluriformes; Bagridae.